This 158-nucleotide non-coding RNA is filed under the name Bacillota bacterium. RNAcentral describes it as "Firmicutes bacterium GlcN6P sequence". It matches the Rfam family "glmS glucosamine-6-phosphate activated ribozyme aptamer". From Rfam's summary of the family: This entry contains a glucosamine-6-phosphate activated ribozyme that is found in the mRNA for GlmS. GlmS is an enzyme that uses fructose-6-phosphate and glutamine to generate glucosamine-6-phosphate. RNAcentral also lists the same sequence under 1 other name. The record is from RNAcentral. Lineage: Bacteria; Bacillati; Bacillota.
AUCCCAUCACAAGCGCCAGUGCCUGCCCUCCGGCAGGACAACGAGGAGGAGAGAGGAUCGAGCGUUUCGGCGGAAGCUCUCCCGUGCCGCUUCGGGUGCGUGACGCAGCCGGUAAAUAUGCGGGUGACCGCAAAACAGAGAGGCUGUGACCGGAGUGG